This is a non-coding RNA of Misgurnus anguillicaudatus (oriental weatherfish), 3040 nucleotides long. Lineage: Eukaryota; Metazoa; Chordata; Actinopteri; Cypriniformes; Cobitidae. The record is from RefSeq and is a predicted model, not a curated record.
CUUUACUCCACUUUGCAUUGUGCCCAAUACGAAAAAGCAACCUCUCAGACCUCUCUCAUCUAAGGGCUCCCUGCCCCCAAAAACGUUGAAGAACCCUGAUUUAGAGUGUUUACAUAAAAGUCACUUAACAUUUUAAUAGCUUUAGAUAUAAAGAAAGAAUACAAUUCUAAUAGUCACUUAUCACUUCAAAAUAUAUGAUUACAUACAAAUCUAUCCUCUAUUCCAGUGGUUCUCAAACUUUUUCAGUGUGCGCCCCCCCUUGUGUACUGUGCAUUCCUUCGCGGACCCCCAAAGAAAAUUUAUGACAAUAAAAUGUUUUAAACUUUACAUUUAUUAUUAAACAAAACAUUAAACUAUUCAAAGUAGUGCUUUAUUUUUUUCGUUUAAUUACACAGAAUUCAUGAUAAAUUAACGUAUUUUAUAAAAUGUCAUAAAACUGGGGGCCCCCUUGCACCAUCUCGUGGCCCCCAGUUUGAGAACCACUGCUCUAUUCAUUAUUACCAUAGCCCUACACACAGUACCCUGAUCACCAUGAUAUUUUGAUACACUAUACUUUGUUUCAUAAUAUUAAUUGUCAUGUACCCAGAUAGCAAAGUUUCUGGCACAAAUCUGGCUUACAUUGGGCAUUUAUGGCUAAAUUUAGGCUCUCUUUUGUUCACACCUUUGUGUGAAACAGCUUUCGGGGGAGUUGUGGGGUGAAGCUAGCCAGCCAAAAGCAAAAGGUACAUUUUUAGGCUGAGUCCUGGCUUAAGUGUGGUCUGCCAGAAAAUAGUAAAUAUAUGGCAGAGUUCUGGCUAAGGUUUGGUUGGUCAAAGAGUAAAAAAAACCACCAAAUAAAAUCAUAUUUACAAUUGAUUAAAACAUCAAAGUUAAUAUUUAAGGCAAUAAUAAAUAUGUUUAUAAAGACGAAAUGUAGAAAAUGUUAUUUUGGGCAGUUAAUCCAAAGGUGUCAAUGUGCAAUAUACAAACAAUGCAAUAAACAGAUAAAUUAAUAAUUCAGUCUGCACUAAUAUACAUCAAACAAAAGUAUUUUAAGUAUGUGUGCUUGUUUAAGUCUUUUUAGUUUUGUAUUUUAUUUUUUAUAAAUAAAUAAGACUUUCCAUUAAAUUGUGUUUACAAUUACGACUAACUAAUACUAAUGCUGCGUUCCAGGCAGGCUUUUAAACCCGUACUUUACGACUUCAAAACCACGACUCACGACCCUAUGCGUUCCAGGCAGCCUGUAACUCGUGUUUUUACAACCUUCUACCGGUGAAAGUGCACUGGAAUGGCAGUCAAACCCGUGACUUCCCACUCGUGAACGCGUACUAGAUCGAUGUACUCCCAGUUCAGAGUCGUGAGUCGUGGUUUUGAACUCGUGAGUUACGGGUUACCGGUUGCCUGGAACGCAGCAUAAUAUUUAUUGGUGCAAUUUCGUUUCUAAAACAAUGACAUAUAUUGCAAUGAAUCUUGGAAUUAGUAGUCAUUUAACCUCAACAGCGUUCAAUACGCCGUGGAAAAUGGACUACCUUUCCCAUAAUGCAACUGGUCAUGAUCAGGAACUUCCGCGAAAUUCAAACCCCCACUGUGUACUGGACGAAGGACACGCGAUCUUUUGUCUUGUGGAGUUUUAUAUAACACAGUAAGUAAGAGACGCAACAUGCAUGACGGGGAUGAUAAAAUAAUCAAUAAGAAGUUUGAAUCUUUAAAUGAAUGCUGAACCCCAAAGAAGCCAAACGAAGAUUAGAUGUUUUCUGUACCAAACCACAAAUCAACAUUUGCUGAAGUCAUGUACCACACUUUGUCAACAAUAAAUGUUGUUUCUGCCAUCUGGAUAAAGAAUAAUAUAUUACUGCCUCUUGGAGAACAGCCGGCCGUACUCCAGACAGAGACAAAGACAUGAGGACAUCUAUUGCUUUUAAGUCAUGUACCACACUUUGUCAACAAUGCAUGUUGUUCCUGCAAUCUGGAUGAAGAAUAAUAUAUUACUGCCUCUUGGGAAAACAGCAGACUGUACUCCAGACAGAGACAAAGACAUGAGGACAUCCAUUGCUUUUAAGUCCUAUACCAGACUAUGUUGUUCCAGCUGUCUGGGUAAAGACUGAUACAUUACUGCCUCUUGGAGAACAGCAAACCAUUCUCCAGACAGAGACAAAGACAUCAAAACAGAAAAUUAAGUACUUGAUCUUGGAUUGUUUGGAGUGAACGCUGGAAAAUAAUGAAGCAGGAAAUUAAAAUGCUUGACUAAAACAAUUUUUGUACUUGGCUGUAAGAAGUCCUUUGUGUGCACAGACAUGACUGGAGAUUAAAGUUACUAAAUGUUGCUUUUUUUCUAGCUGGUGACAUAACAUGGUAUUAUUUUCAAAUGUAUUUAUCUAAUACACAUUUGCACAUCUGUAAACAUUCAUUUUAUAUAGGAUGUUUUUUAUAUUUAACUAGUUGUUGUAUAUUGCUUUCUGUUAUUACAUCUGGGUUUUUUUUGCCUGUUUAUUGUUUAAAACAAUUAAGUUAAUGUUUCUCUGUUAGCUUUUACUUUGGCUAUUUCUUUGCUUUUAUUUGAUCCUUCUACUGUUAUUUGUUUAUUUGGCAGAACAUUUGACAUUUCAUUUAUUUUGCUGUUAUCUGAAAUUAUCCUUGUCACCAUCAAUAAAACUCUAUAUUUGCUUUAUAUCUGUGUUUUUCAAUUACACAUUUUACGGGAUAUAAAUAUAUUUUGGUCACUUUAUGGCUAUUUUCUGGGGCAUCUGGAUAAGUUGUGGGUGGGUUCUGGGGUAAAUAUGGUAAUUUUGGUUAUUUUCUGGGUUACAUUUGGGGCUUCUGGAAAAGUUGUGGGUAAGUUUGGGGAUAAAUGUGGUAAUUUGGGCUCUUUUUUGGUUGUUAUCUGGAGAUUCCGGGAGAGCUGUGGCUGAUUUCUCGAGGUGUGAAAGGGUUGCGGCUAAGUUAUGGUCUGCUUUCGGCUAGAUUCUGGAUUACUUAAGGCAAGCAGCUCUGGGACCAAUCAAGGACCGUAAGCCGUGGCGGCAUGUGUGCCAAAAGAACAGCCUGAACUCAGCCAUUUCUG